GACGAACGCUGGCGGCGUGCCUAAUACAUGCAAGUCGAACGCACUCUCGUUUAGAUUGAAGGAGCUUGCUCCUGAUUGAUAAACAUUUGAGUGAGUGGCGGACGGGUGAGUAACACGUGGGUAACCUGCCCUAAAGUGGGGGAUAACAUUUGGAAACAGAUGCUAAUACCGCAUAAAACCUAACACCGCAUGGUGUAGGGUUGAAAGAUGGUUUCGGCUAUCACUUUAGGAUGGACCCGCGGUGCAUUAGUUAGUUGGUGAGGUAAAGGCUCACCAAGACCGUGAUGCAUAGCCGACCUGAGAGGGUAAUCGGCCACACUGGGACUGAGACACGGCCCAGACUCCUACGGGAGGCAGCAGUAGGGAAUCUUCCACAAUGGACGAAAGUCUGAUGGAGCAACGCCGCGUGAGUGAAGAAGGUUUCGGAUCGUAAAACUCUGUUGUUGGAGAAGAAUGUAUCUGAUAGUAACUGAUCAGGUAGUGACGGUAUCCAACCAGAAAGCCAC
RNAcentral lists this ribosomal RNA (506 nucleotides) under uncultured bacterium. RNAcentral's name for it is "bacterial SSU rRNA". It matches the Rfam family "Bacterial small subunit ribosomal RNA", at positions 28 to 494 of the family's 1533-position model. The record is from RNAcentral.